This 457-nucleotide ribosomal RNA is filed under the name uncultured microorganism. RNAcentral's name for it is "bacterial SSU rRNA". It matches the Rfam family "Bacterial small subunit ribosomal RNA", at positions 346 to 794 of the family's 1533-position model. The record is from RNAcentral.
GUGCAGCAGGCGCGAAUCUUUUGCAAUGCCCGAAAGGGUGACAAUGCGACGCCGCGUGAGCGAUGAAGGCCUUCGGGUUGUAAAGCUCUGUCAGCUCGGAUGAAAGCAGGGAAGCCAAUACCUUUUCUGUCUGACGGUACGAGCAGAGGAAGCUACGGCUAACUCCGUGCCAGCAGCCGCGGUAAUACGGAGGUGGCAAGCGUUGUUCGGAUCUACUGGGGUGUAAAGGUCAUGUAGGGCGUCUUACUAAGUCGGAUGUGAAAUCCCCUGGCUCAACCAGGGAACUGCAUUCGAUACUGGUUAGAUUGAGUACGGGAGAGGAAAGCGGAAUUCCGGAAGUAAGGGUGAAAUCUGUAGAUAUCCGGAAGAACACAUUAGCGAAGGCGGCUUUCUGGCCCGAUACUGACGCUGAAAUGAGAAAGCUAGGGUAGCGAACAGGAUUAGAUACCCCCGUAGU